Molecule: long non-coding RNA, 223 nt
Filed under: Elaeis guineensis (African oil palm)
Lineage: Eukaryota; Viridiplantae; Streptophyta; Magnoliopsida; Arecales; Arecaceae
Description: long non-coding RNA (EGUI_LNC055449)
Source: RNAcentral
CUGAUCUGUACCUGCACCUGUGCGCACGACUAGAGAAGGGAUGUUUUCGUAUCCCUUCUUAAAUCAAAAAAAUCCACAAAAAUCCACAUGGAUAGGAGACUCAUUUUGUCACGCCCCCGACCCGAGAUUGUGAAUCGAGGGUCGCGGCAACCACCGCAUACUCAUGAAGAACUCUCUCCAUAAGCAUGCAAGGCAUCUCAUCACGAUAUCAAUGCAUCACAGC